This 232-nucleotide ribosomal RNA is filed under the name Lacticaseibacillus rhamnosus. RNAcentral's name for it is "Lactobacillus rhamnosus partial 16S ribosomal RNA". It matches the Rfam family "Bacterial small subunit ribosomal RNA", at positions 1313 to 1533 of the family's 1533-position model. Lineage: Bacteria; Bacillati; Bacillota; Bacilli; Lactobacillales; Lactobacillaceae. The record is from RNAcentral.
CGCCUACACGAAGUCGGAAUCGCUAGUAAUCGCGGAUCAGCACGCCGCGGUGAAUACGUUCCCGGGCCUUGUACACACCGCCCGUCACACCAUGAGAGUUUGUAACACCCGAAGCCGGUGGCGUAACCCUUUUAGGGAGCGAGCCGUCUAAGGUGGGACAAAUGAUUAGGGUGAAGUCGUAACAAGGUAGCCGUAGGAGAACCUGCGGCUGGAUCACCUCCUUUCUAAGGAA